RNAcentral lists this long non-coding RNA (756 nucleotides) under Anser cygnoides (Swan goose). RNAcentral's name for it is "lncRNA (ENSACDG00005012005.1)". Lineage: Eukaryota; Metazoa; Chordata; Aves; Anseriformes; Anatidae. The record is from RNAcentral.
UGUUUUAGUUAAAACAGUAGGAGAUCUCAAUUAGUGAGUCACUGGAUCACCAGAUAAGGGAUGAAGAACAGUCACAACCUUUUAGAUUGGUCUUUCUUGCCUUUUAGAGUUGUUUCUGUCUCUGCAGACUGUUCCCAAAAUUAUAUUUGUCACUAGGAUUUGAGAUCUCAUAACCUUUAUAUCUUUCCUUUCAGAGAUUCCUGGUGACUUUCUCUACAGUUUCUACUGUCACUUGUACACCUCCUGACAGAUGUUCCUCUACAGUGGAAGGAAACUACUGGUAUCAGUGACUAAAUACAUCAUGGAGUUAUGGUACCUAGGUCUACAACUGCAUGCAGAUGGUGACAUGCUCAUAUGAGAAGCCUCAGAGGACAGCGAAUGAAAUGCAACCAGGUAUUACUCAGCUUAAGUCAUGUUUGCAGCUUUGUUGAAUUGACAGACUAGAAAGUAUUUUCAAGUCACAGGAAUAACAUGCUUUCUGAACUUACUGAGUAUAAUGAAAGGUAGUAUUUGUAUUUGUUCUAGGAAAUGUGCAGUUAAAGACUCGUUAUAAACAUGCAAAAAUUCAGACUUCUUAAUUCAGUAUAAAUGAAAUUGAUAUCUAGACACUUAAAUAUGAUUGAAUUACUAUAAUUUUUUCUAUUUUUCCUCACUAAAUCUGCUCUUCCUACUACAUCUGACAAUGCUGCAAGUUCUUUUGUAUAAACCCUUUUAUAAAGUAAUAAAAGUUUAAUGAAUGUAUAAUGAAGCUUUCCA